GCCCAAAGUCGCACGUGCCUGUGGGUGUCCGCCGACCCUCGAACUGGGAUUCAUCCCUAAGGUGAGGUCAUCGGUAAGGUACCUGGAACUAACCCCUCCAGUCGCUAUUCCGGCCAACCGGGAAAUGCGAGGACAUCUUGAAGCAACGACGGUGCGGGCCUUU
Rhizobium sp. is the source of this 163-nucleotide small RNA. It matches the Rfam family "Alphaproteobacterial sRNA ar45". The record is from Rfam. NCBI's taxonomy places the organism in Bacteria, Pseudomonadati, Pseudomonadota, Alphaproteobacteria, Hyphomicrobiales, Rhizobiaceae.